RNAcentral lists this ribosomal RNA (85 nucleotides) under Peribacillus frigoritolerans. The record is from RNAcentral. Lineage: Bacteria; Bacillati; Bacillota; Bacilli; Caryophanales; Bacillaceae. RNAcentral also lists the same sequence under 1 other name.
UUCCCAUUCCGAACACGGCAGUUAAGCUCUUCAGCGCCGAUGGUAGUUGGGGGUUUCCCCCUGUGAGAGUAGGACGCCGCCAAGC